RNAcentral lists this long non-coding RNA (1825 nucleotides) under Oncorhynchus mykiss (rainbow trout). RNAcentral's name for it is "lncRNA (ENSOMYG00000051185.1)". The record is from RNAcentral. Lineage: Eukaryota; Metazoa; Chordata; Actinopteri; Salmoniformes; Salmonidae.
GCUCCAGGCUUUUGUUCCAGCCAGACAGUAGCACAAUUGUUUCUACUCAUCAACUCAUCAGUCUCCAGUCAACUGAUUCCACUCAUCAACUAAUCAGUCUCCAGUCAACUGUUUCUACUCAUCAACUCAUCAGUCUCCAGUCAACUGAUUAUACUCAUCAUUCUACCCCCACAUUGCAAGCAAAAUAUUUGAAUGGCUCCCCCCCUUGACAUCGGAGAAUUGUUUUUAACAUUUCUGAGUGUAUUCCAUGCAACUCUACACAUUUUGGCAUGAGGCUGAGAGAAGAUUUACAAUUUUAUAACUCAAUUCACUCAAUUUUACUCAUUUUGACAUGGGGCGGAGAUGAAAAUGAGCUGUUUUACAGCUAAUUUCCUGCAAUUCUAGAAAUGUUUUCAUAGGGUGGAGAGAAAUGUUUGCAGUUUUUUAUAUUAUAUCUGAGUGAGACUGACUAACAAUAUCAAUGGAGCCUUCCCAGCAGGUAAUUUGACCAUGACAACAAGUUUAGACAGACUAUCAGUGACUUACUUAACAAGAGAAAAACUGCUGAUGCGCAACCAAAUUUCUAAAUUGCACCUUGUGCGUUCCACAAAAAAAAAGAAAAUCUGAGGGCUUUCAAAAGGUAAGGGCCACCGGUUGAGAUAUAGUUUGGUGCAGUAUGGUGCAGGUAGAGUAUGGUGCAGUAUUGUGCAGGUAGAGUAUGGUACAAGUAGAGUAUGGUACAGUAUGGCGCAGUAUGGUACAAUAUGGUGCAGACACAGUAUCAUGCAGUAUGGUGAAGGUACAGUAUGGUGCAGGUAGAGUGUGGUGUAGGUAGAAUAUGAUUCAGGUACAUUAUGUUACAGUAUGGUACAAUAUGGUGCAGAUACAGUAUCAUGCAGUAUGGUGAAGGUACAGUAUGGUACAGGUAGAGUAUGGUGCAUGUAGAGUGUGGUGUAGGUAGAGUAUGGUGCAGUAUUGUGCAGGUAGAGUAUGGUACAAGUAGAGUAUGGUACAGUAUGGCGCAGUAUGGUACAAUAUGGUGCAGACACAGUAUCAUGCAGUAUGGUGAAGGUACAGUAUGGUGCAGGUAGAGUGUGGUGUAGGUAGAAUAUGAUUCAGGUACAUUAUGUUACAGUAUGGUACAAUAUGGUGCAGACACAGUAUCAUGCAGUAUGGUGAAGGUACAGUAUGGUGAAGGUACAGUAUGGUGCAUGUAGAGUGUGGUGUAGGUAGAAUAUGAUUCAGGUACAUUAUGUUACAGUAUGGUACAAUAUGGUGCAGAUACAGUAUCAUGCAGUAUGGUGAAGGUACAGUAUGGUACAGGUAGAGUAUGGUGCAUGUAGAGUGUGGUGUAGGUAGAAUAUGAUUCAGGUACAUUAUGUUACAGUAUGGUACAAUAUGGUGCAGACACAGUAUCAUGCAGUAUGGUGAAGGUACAGUAUGGUGAAGGUACAGUAUGGUGCAUGUAGAGUGUGGUGUAGGUAGAAUAUGAUUCAGGUACAUUAUGUUACAGUAUGGUACAAUAUGGUGCAGACACAGUAUCAUGCAGUAUGGUGAAGGUACAGUAUGGUGAAGGUACAGUAUGGUGCAUGUAGAGUGUGGUGUAGGUAGAAUAUGAUUCAGGUACAUUAUGUUACAGUAUGGUACAAUAUGGUGCAGAUACAGUAUCAUGCAGUAUGGUGAAGGUACAGUAUGGUACAGGUAGAGUAUGGUGCAUGUAGAGUGUGGUGUAGGUAGAAUAUGAUUCAGGUACAUUAUGUUACAGUAUGGUACAAUAUGGUGCAGAUACAGUAUCAUGUAGUAUGGUGAAGGUACAGUAUGGUACAGGUAGAGUGUGGUGCAUGUA